Molecule: RNA transcript, 2339 nt
Organism: Drosophila virilis
Lineage: Eukaryota; Metazoa; Arthropoda; Insecta; Diptera; Drosophilidae
Gene: spz
Gene name: Spaetzle domain-containing protein
Source: RefSeq, a predicted model, not a curated record
CGCGCGCAACGAUAAGCGUGUGUGUAGCCAGUUGCUGUGUGCUCUCGCUCUCGCUCGCGCCGCCGCCGCCAAACAGUUAAAGCUCAUGUGCAGUUGAAAUUAAAUAUUAAUGCUUAUUAUCAAAGACGCGCGUCUCCCACACGACUUAUACUAUAAAUAUUCCACCGGGGAAAAAACACGCGCGCGGAGACGCGAAGACGGCUGCUUAAAAGCGCUUGCAUCGCGCCAACUGGGCUUCAUUUUAGGCAAGGUCAAGCCUAGCGCAACACCACGGGCUGCGAACCAUCUCGAAAGCAAAAAAUAAUAAUAAAAAAUCAGAAGCAGCAAAUACUAAAGUGAAAAGCAAAGCAACUAAUUCAAGUGUCGUCGGUAGCUGUUUGCAGGCACUGUGCAAAGGAAACAAUAACAAAGCGGAAUAAGCAAAGAGGCGGCUGGAAACAUUUAUGAACAACAACAACAACAAAGACAGCAACAACUAAAAGCAGCUUCGACACCAACUACAAUAUUAAAAAAAAAAAGAGGCAGAAAAAACAGUCAAAACAAAAACAACAACUACAACAGCGGGCAAAUAAAGCCCGGCAAUCAUUUUAGUCGUGCCAGUUUGUUUAUUAAAUAUACUACGUAAAGCGCAUAAAAAUAAACACAGACAGUCAAAUACACACACACACUCACACACACACAGUCUAACAAGCUUGCCCGCAAACGUGUCUCAAAACAGACGACCAGCUACCCUGUAAAAACUUGGCAAUCUUUUUGUAAAUAAAUAUUAAUUAAAAACAAAAAAAAUCGUAGAGCUAAUAAGAAAAUGCCUCCCAUGUGGUGGAAACUGAUCAAAAUUAUGCUGCUGCUCUUCGCGCUCUUCGCCACGAUAGUUUGUAUCAAUAGCGAAAUGUCGAAGCGACGCAGUGAGGCAGCCGCUGCAGAGGCCAACAGCAGCUCCAAUGAGACGAUGUCCUUUGUCUCCGACAAUCUACUGAACAUGAUGCGCACCAAGGUGCAGGAGCAGGCGCUAUCCAAGGAGCAGCAGCCGCAACAGGAUCCAGGCGAGGUGGAGCUGCCCGCCGAGGAUAUUGACGAGCGAGUUCGUUCCAUAUUCAAAGUGAACGAUGGCCAUGGUUUGAUGCUUUUUAAUACGACGGCCACGAACGAUGAUGCAUCCAUCAUGCCCAUAUCCGCUGAGCACCAGGCAACCGAGUCCUGGCCAACACCCACUCACACUCAAACCCAGUCUCAGUCUUCGUCUCAGCCCAAGCCCAAGCACUAUCAUCAAUAUCAAAGCUUGAAUCAUCAGCAACAGUCGUUCAAAGUGCAACGCUCACCGGAUGGCAAGCUGAAUCUUGUCUUUAAUGAACCCAUCGUCUCUUUGCAGAGCAACGCACAGCAGCAGCCACCGCAGCAGCCGCCGCAGCAGCCGCCGAAGCAGCAGCAGCCACAGCAGCCGCGUCGCCCCAUCUCAGACAUUAUCGUGUUUCCCGACUCUAUAGAUAAGUAUCGACCAGCCCAACCGGCGCCAACCAUCGAUACGGGGGAUCUGCAGUGCGUGGAUGGGUUCAAUCAGAGUCGCUCCUUUUGCACCAAGGUGAACAACUAUCCGGAUUUGUCCGGCCUGAAGGGCAUAUUGUCGCGUCGCUUUGCCAAUUUCUUCAGCGAUGAGCCGCAGCCCACGGAUUUCGGACUGCGAAUGAACGAUGACGAGCAGUAUUUGUGCAACAGCCAUGUGCGGUACUUGUACCCAAAAUUGGGCCAGAGAUUGGAUCAGUCCUGGCAGUAUAUAGUCAACACGGAUGAGUUCAAACAGGGCAUACUCAUCGAGGAGUGCGAUCACGAGGGCGAGAGCUGCCAAUUUCUGGACAGCUUUCCCAACAACUAUGUGCCCGUCUGCAAGCAGCACUAUGUGAUACGUCAUCUGGCCACCAUCAAUAAUGCCAGCAGCGGCCAGCCCGAGGUGGCCAAUGAGCCCUUCAAGAUACCCUCCUGCUGCAAGUGCGUCAUAAAGAGCAAAUUUUCGGUAGAGAGCAAACCCUGAGACUAAGCAAAAACCAAUCUGAAUGUUGAUUUUAGAAUGUCGAGCCAAUUUCUGCACAUGUGAUUUUGAUCAACAAGUUUCACCCACCACAGAAUGGCAGGCCAAACUGUCUAGGGUCUUAUUGUUUUUAUAAUCUGUAGACUAGUUGUUUUAUAUGCACAUAAAACGUAUCUUAAAAUAAGUAUAAAUAAUCAGUACUAUAUCUAAUGCCUAAUAAUAAUUGCAAACACUCAUUGAUUAGCCAUAAAUUUAUUAUAAGGUUUAGUAUUUACAAAAUAUUACUUAUUGACGCUGCGCCUAUGCUAAAAACAAA